This 465-nucleotide ribosomal RNA is filed under the name Vreelandella stevensii. RNAcentral describes it as "partial 16S ribosomal RNA". It matches the Rfam family "Bacterial small subunit ribosomal RNA", at positions 338 to 795 of the family's 1533-position model. The record is from RNAcentral. Lineage: Bacteria; Pseudomonadati; Pseudomonadota; Gammaproteobacteria; Oceanospirillales; Halomonadaceae.
CCUACGGGUGGCAGCAGUGGGGAAUAUUGGACAAUGGGCGAAAGCCUGAUCCAGCCAUGCCGCGUGUGUGAAGAAGGCCUUCGGGUUGUAAAGCACUUUCAGUGGGGAAGAAAGCCUUGGGGCUAAUACCCUCGAGGAAGGACAUCACCCACAGAAGAAGCACCGGCUAACUCCGUGCCAGCAGCCGCGGUAAUACGGAGGGUGCGAGCGUUAAUCGGAAUUACUGGGCGUAAAGCGCGCGUAGGCGGUCUGAUAAGCCGGUUGUGAAAGCCCCGGGCUCAACCUGGGAACGGCAUCCGGAACUGUCAGGCUAGAGUGCAGGAGAGGAAGGUAGAAUUCCCGGUGUAGCGGUGAAAUGCGUAGAGAUCGGGAGGAAUACCAGUGGCGAAGGCGGCCUUCUGGACUGACACUGACGCUGAGGUGCGAAAGCGUGGGUAGCGAACAGGAUUAGAUACCCUGGUAGUC